AAGUCGUAACAAGGUAACCGUAGGUGAACCUGCGGUUGGAUCAUUAACAAAUUAUUUAGGCCCCUGGCUGUCCCAAAAGGGCGAAGGGGGGACAACCUAAACAUUUGUGUGCACCAUAUCUGUCCUUGGUAGUUCGAGUGUCCUGGGUUGCGUAACUGCUCCAGGUACCUACUGAAGCGAGCCUUCGGGAUUGCUGAUGUUGGGCUGCCGCCUUUUGAACAAACCUAUUGUAUAUUUGUUUUGUCUGAAAUUGUUUGAUCUUAUGAUUGAAUUUAAAUACAACUUUUGACAACGGAUCUCUUGGCUCUCGCAACGAUGAAGAACGCAGCGAAAUGCGAUAAGUAAUGUGAAUUGCAGAAUUCAGUGAAUCAUCGAAUCUUUGAACGCACAUUGCGCUCUUUGGUAUUCCGGAGAGCAUGCCUGUUUGAGAAUCAGUAAAUUCAUCAACCCAAGGACUUUGGAAUUUAUUCCUCGGUCUGGAAGUUGGAUAUGGGCGUUUUGCUGCCUCUGGCAGCAAUAGCCUGAAAUUUAAUGUUACGCUCCUUUGGACUGAGAAGUCUCGGGCAAACGCAUGAAUGAGGCAACUCACAAAUACGUCAGCUCUUGAGAUUUAUCAAUUCUUGGUGGGGUGACUCAACUGAUUAACCAGGGUUUGUUGGUGUCAACCAGCUUAUUCUGAACACUUGGUCUCAAAUCAGGUAGGAAAACCCGCUGAACUUA
Molecule: ribosomal RNA, 720 nt
Filed under: uncultured fungus
Lineage: Eukaryota; Fungi
Description: eukaryotic LSU rRNA
Rfam family: 5.8S ribosomal RNA (bases 281-434)
Source: RNAcentral